UGCAGCUCCUGCGUUCCCUCCUCCUUCUCUCUCUCUCUCUCUCUCUGGCGCGCGGUGACCCCUCCCCUCAUGCCAUGGCUUCCUCCGACCUGGCCCGGCAGAUGCGCUAUCAAUCUGAUAUUGGAAUGAGAGCACCCUCUAAUCAACCAGUAAAUAAUCAAGAUGCAAGGAGGCAGGGUUGCCGACCCUUAUCCUUGUCUGGUCAUGUUGGUUUCGAUAGUUUGCCAGAUCAGUUGGUUAAUAAAUCUACCCAUCAGGGGUUCUGCUUCAACAUUCUCUGUAUUGGUGAGACAGGAAUUGGGAAAUCAACUUUGACUGAUAGUUUGUUUAAUACCAGUUUUGAUGACCGUGUGUCAACACACUUUCAGCCAAAUGUAAGACUUAAAGCUGAGACAUACGAACUCCAAGAAAGCAAUGUUCGACUGAAGCUGACCAUUGUCAAUACCGUUGGAUUUGGUGACCAGAUAAACAAGGAAGAUAGCUACCAGCCAAUAGUGGAUUACAUAGAUGCACAGUUUGAGUCUUACCUCCAGGAAGAGCUGAAAAUUAAACGCUCCUUAUAUAAUUACCAUGACACUCGCAUCCACGUGUGCCUCUACUUUAUUUCACCCACAGGGCAUUCCCUCAAAAGUCUUGAUUUAUUAACCAUGAAAAAUCUUGAUAGCAAGGUGAACAUUAUUCCACUUAUAGCCAAAGCAGAUACAAUCUCUAAAUCUGAACUGCAGAAAUUUAAGAUCAAAAUCAUGAGUGAGCUGGUCAGUAAUGGAGUCCAGAUAUACCAGUUUCCAACAGAUGAUGAGAGCAUUGCCAAAAUUAAUGCCAGCAUGAAUGGACAUCUGCCAUUUGCCGUAGUGGGGAGUACAGAAGAAGUCAAAAUUGGAAACAAAAUAGUAAAAGCUCGCCAGUAUCCUUGGGGCAUAGUGCAAGUGGAAAAUGAGAACCAUUGUGAUUUUGUGAAACUUCGGGAGAUGCUGAUUUGUACAAAUAUGGAAGACUUGAGAGAGCAGACUCACAUGCGCCACUAUGAACUGUACCGGCGGUGCAAAUUGGAAGAGAUGGGCUUCCGAGACACCGAUCAAGAAAACAAACCUGUCAGUCUACAGGAGACUUACGAAGCCAAGCGCCAUGAAUUCCUUGGUGAAUUACAGCAGAAAGAAGAGGAGAUGAGGCAGAUGUUUGUGCAGAGGGUCAAGGAGAAAGAAGCACUGCUGAAGGAAGCUGAGCGAGAACUACAAGUGAAGUUUGAACAUUUAAAACGGCUUCAUCAAGAAGAGAGGAUGAAAGUGGAGGAGAAAAGAAAGCUCCUGGAAGAUGAAAUGAGUGCAUUCAGUAAAAGAAAAGCUGCUUCAGACAUACUCCAAGGGAGGGCCCUGCCCCCCACACCCACGGUUGGUUUAAAAAAAGACAAGGAUCGGAAAAAGGAACAAGAUUUUCGGCUUGAACUGCUGUGUUUUGAUAUCGGAGAUCAGGAAGUUGUGAAUAUACAGGAAGCGAGAGAGAGAGAAAGAAAUUAGAAAGGGAAAGAACACCGUGACUAGAGCUUGGAAGUAGUUUGCAAAUGUUGUAUGGUUAGGCUCUGGCUUUAUGUGAAACUGAAGAUACAAGAAGAAAUUCUUCACAGUUCUCUGUGAUGAAACGUUGAUCCCCCCUCCCCCUUUUUUAAUGAAAGCGAACUUGAAAACUGAUCACUGCUUAAUCAAUGAAAAAGUAUAUUAAAAUGUAUAAUCAGUUUUGCAUAAUGUACUGUAGGGUUGCUGUUGCAUUAAUAUAUUUAAAAGGAUGUUUCUUUUAAGCUGCCAUUGAUAUGCACUUAAAGUAUAUAAACAUGGCCAAGUUGCACACACCAAAGAUUACUGUGCCAUAAAACAGUUUUCAUUUGAGUUAUGAGCACUGUAGUACAGAAGUGAAUAUAUAUUGCAUAUGUUUUAAAGAACUGGUGCCUUUUAUCCUGUUUUAGCUAUACACAAUUGAAUGCAUUUAUUCAGCUGAAUAAAAUAUGUAAACCUGUUUAAAUAACCACUUCCUUUCCUCAAAACGGACUUACAAAUGUCCUUUCUAGGUCUGUGAUAAUGAUAAGCUUUUGAAU
Molecule: RNA transcript, 2086 nt
Organism: Lacerta agilis (Sand lizard)
Lineage: Eukaryota; Metazoa; Chordata; Lepidosauria; Squamata; Lacertidae
Gene: SEPTIN10
Gene name: septin 10
Exons: 12
Source: RefSeq, a predicted model, not a curated record